GUGCUGAUGGGAACCACAAGCAAACCUUUAUUUAAGCUGUAAAAUAACAAGUCCAAACUGUCCAAGCAUGCGAACAGGCACAUCCUUAAAGUCACAGAGGACAUCAUCAUUAGUCCUCUGACUUCAGAGAAUCUCACCCUGGACUGCAGUCCAACAUCAGGCGCUCAGAUACCGGAGGGAGCAACAGAAACACUUUGGGUCGUGGCUGAUGUGGAAGCAGAGGUCAGGAGGAGCCACGACGCCUGGGCUUUUUCUGAUAGAAGAGAAAUGACGUUUUUAACUUUUGUUGAAUCAGUUUAAAUAUUUUCCUUCAUCGGUGGAAAUGUUGGAACCAAACUAAAUACUGUUUACGAGCAGCAGGCAGAGCAACAGGCCCGAGCUGCUGUGGAUUCUACCGCAUGAGUAACAGCACCAAAAACCUCUUUAAAUCCUUUUAUGUGCCAUCGGAGCCAUCCCCGCACCGUUUUAGUGGUUUUUACACACAGUAGUGAUUUUUUUACUGCAGGAUUACGUGUCAUGAUUUUGUAUAUUUGGUGUAUUUUGGAUGUGGAGUUCUUUCUGCUCUUUGUGGAUCAUUUCUCGACUGUCUGUAAAAGUUUCCAGUCAGGACAAUAAAACGCCUGAAUCCUGCACACAGGGAGACACAGGUGAUAAGAAUCAAGGCCAGGAGAGACUACCAAAAUAAAACAGGAAGUGAGCAGCAAUAACUACACAUGUGGGAAGUGACAAAAGAGCAAGAGACAGGAAGCACCGAGCACGCAGGACAGAUGUGCUUCGAAGUAGCAGCCAAGAAAGGUGUAAUUUGGGUCUACGAGCAGUGAACACCCGUGUGUGCAUACCUGUGUGGAUCAGCGCGCUUGUAUUCCAAAGGUUUCUCCAUGUAACGAUCUGCUAGGGAGUGUGGGGGGGCCACAGCCCCGUCCUCCAGGGUGUGAAGCAGGUAUGGAGGAGAUCAAAACUCCAGACAUCCAGAGGCCCCCAGAACACAAGAGACCAAGGAAGACCCACAGAGGGGCAGCCGCGCCACUGUCCCAGAAAGAGCUGAGGAGAGUCCCAGAUGAGGGCUCACUCAGCAGCCGCGGAGCAGAAGCCAGGGGGGGUUGCAGUGACGCGCCCGUGAGCUCCGCCGGCAGCCAGCUGCACCUGAGUGACCGAGCCCCAGGCCGAGAGGCCGGGGGCACCCCACCCCCGAAGGGGCCCGAGCGAGCCCCAGGCUCCAGGCCCCGAUAAGCGGCCGCCAACUUUUGUUUUUUCAAUAGGAAGAGGGUCAUGUGACACAUCAAACUUCUUGCCAUUGACAUGUCGAAGAGGUUAACACGUGAGGAGCGGAAUCGUGUUGAUAUCUGGUGAACGCAGUAACCAGGUCAUUGCAGCAGAUUUCAAUGCAAGACACCCUACGUAAAGUAAUGGGAUUACUUUCUUGGAGAAGUAAUCAGUAACAAGUAACUGAUUACUAUUUUCAAGUCAUUUGACCAACACUGUUCAGCAGCAGAUUAAUGAGGCGU
This is a long non-coding RNA of Astatotilapia calliptera (eastern happy), 1505 nucleotides long. NCBI's taxonomy places the organism in Eukaryota, Metazoa, Chordata, Actinopteri, Cichliformes, Cichlidae. The record is from Ensembl.